This 254-nucleotide ribosomal RNA is filed under the name uncultured bacterium. RNAcentral's name for it is "partial 16S ribosomal RNA". It matches the Rfam family "Bacterial small subunit ribosomal RNA", at positions 524 to 776 of the family's 1533-position model. The record is from RNAcentral.
CACGUAGGGGGCAAGCGUUGUCCGGAUUUAUUGGGCGUAAAGAGCUCGUAGGCGGUUCGCUAAGUCGGGUGUGAAACCUCCAGGCUCAACCUGGAGACGCCACCCGAUACUGGUGUGACUCGAGUCCGGUAGGGGAGCGUGGAAUUCCCGGUGUAGUGGUGAAAUGCGUAGAUAUCGGGAGGAACACCAGUGGCGAAGGCGACUUCCUGGCCUGUUCUUGACGCUGAGGCGCGAAAGCUAGGGGAGCAAACGGG